GGAACUUUAAUCACAAUAAUAGGAAAAUAUAUUAGUAAUAGAAACACAUAGCUUAAGGAUAGAUUAGUUAACGUUAUUAAUAUUUUUUAACCCUGCCGCAGGAGGGCUCUUUGGUUCGAUAUAUUGUGACCCUCUUUGUAGAGCCUUUCUAAUUUUUUUGCACAAGAAAAUUGUGUCCUUAUCUCUUCAUUUGUUCUUAUCCGGGUAUUGCCCCGUCUAACUCUCGGUCUCUCCCAUUGCUGCCCCCAUCUCAUCUAUCAUUUGCCAUCUCUCCCCUCUCGCCAAAGCUAUGAAAAUAUGAUUGGAGGUAGCUAGCAAGCCAGGUUACGGUUGAGGAUUGGAGAGCCACAGCAACCGGCUCUGGGGGACGAUGCAGGCUGGUAGAAGAUCAGGGCGGCCAGGCUGCUCAGGAGGAUGGUUGCCCGGAGCAGGGGACCGCGGCACCAACGCCGGCGGCCUGAUUAGGUGGCUCCCUCCAGCGGGAGGAAGGAGAGAGCUACGGAAGACAGCAGUCAGCAGACAGCAACGGAGGAGAGAAAAACUCCAGGAGCCCCGAAAGCUUCAGGUUUUGCCAUUGGAGGUGUCCCAGUUGAAAUUGCGCGAAGGUCGAACCCAAAGAUUGCAAAAGAAUUCAACCAUCAGGUACUUCAGUCGCUAUGGUUCAGUAAUUCUAGGAGCCUAGAGGUAGCCUAUUGAAUGCAUUGCUGUUCUGGGACGCUGGUACAGACAGGAUUGGGAAGCAAUGGAGACACCUACACUGGGGAAAAAAUGUUGUCUCUGAAAAUCGAAUGGGAAGCAACGGACGCUGCUCGGAAUGUUCUCAUGGGUAGGCUUUGUCGCAACGCGAGUUUCUCACGGGCCUUCUCCCGUCCGCUACACAAAACUAUAGCCCAACAAGCAUGCGAUAAAUUGGAGCCCACGUCCAUGUCCAUCACCUCUCAAACAUCAUAGGUCGUAGUAGAUCCAUCCGUGUAUUCCCUUGAUGUACAACUCCCAAACAAACCCACACACUUCCGACUUCCGACUGUCCACGUUCAGGAAACGACUUUUGUCCAACUACUUCGAGACAUCCGAUCCCUAAAUUGGUUUCGUGAGCGCGUUUCUACUUCAAACAAUAGGUGAGCACCCUCCUCACAACCCAUCUUC
Molecule: RNA transcript, 1146 nt
Organism: Panicum hallii
Lineage: Eukaryota; Viridiplantae; Streptophyta; Magnoliopsida; Poales; Poaceae
Exons: 2
Source: RefSeq, a predicted model, not a curated record